CUGGGUAGCUAUGUGCGGAAGGGAUAAGUGCUGAAAGCAUCUAAGCAUGAAGCCCCCCUCAAGAUGAGAUUUCCCAUAGCGUAUAAGAUCCCUGAAAGAUGAUCAGGUUGAUAGGUUCGAGGUGGAAGCAUGGUGACAUGUGGAGCUGACGAAUACUAAUCGAUCGAAGACUUAAUCAAAA
This 181-nucleotide ribosomal RNA is filed under the name Pantoea vagans. RNAcentral describes it as "partial 23S ribosomal RNA". It matches the Rfam family "Bacterial large subunit ribosomal RNA", at positions 2741 to 2925 of the family's 2925-position model. Lineage: Bacteria; Pseudomonadati; Pseudomonadota; Gammaproteobacteria; Enterobacterales; Erwiniaceae. The record is from RNAcentral.